Molecule: long non-coding RNA, 483 nt
Filed under: Bos taurus (domestic cattle)
Lineage: Eukaryota; Metazoa; Chordata; Mammalia; Artiodactyla; Bovidae
Description: long non-coding RNA NONBTAT015005
Source: RNAcentral
AAAAUGCAGUGCCUUUGACCAUAACCCUGUCUGUGUGCUUUGCAAGAUCUUAGGAAGUGAAAUAGUUCCCCAAAGUUAGGAAGUCCCUUGGGAGCUAUUUUUCCUUAGGGCACAGAAAACUGAAAUUCUGUGCUAGGGUCCCCUUAUUGACUCCCGACUCAAGAAAAGCCUUCCAUUUGGCAAAACUCGAUGAAGCAAAUGACUUUCUUGCCCUUUGGCAGAGACUGAACUCUGCCUGUACUUCUACAUUAGGAUUUACACUCUCUGAAGUCUGCAGAGGCUCUGAGUUUGCUGGUAUCUAUCUGACUUGGGAUUUUCUGGUCAGCUUCCAAGAGAGUGUUUAUUGUCCAUAGGUUAGGGUGCCUUUAAUUCAAAGGCUUUCCUAGCUCCCUGGUUUAUCUGUAAAUGAUUACUCCAUGCUCAGAUUUUUCAGCAACAGACCCUAAUGAAUGUAAAUAAAAUAAGCUCCAGUUUUCCAAUUAC